GAUGAACGCUAGCGGCAGGCUUAAUACAUGCAAGUCGUGGGGCAGCAUGAGUAGCAAUACUUGAUGGCGACCGGCAAACGGGUGAGGAACACGUACACAACCUUCCUUCAAGCGGGGAAUAGCCCAGAGAAAUUUGGAUUAAUACCCCAUAAUAUAUUUGAUAAGGCAUCUUAUUAAUAUUAAAGCUUCGGCACUUGAUGAUGGGUGUGCGGCUGAUUAGAUAGUUGGCGGGUAACGGCCCACCAAGUCUACGAUCAGUAGCUGAUGUGAGAGCAUGAUCAGCCACACGGGCACUGAGACACGGGCCCGACUCCUACGGGAGGCAGCAGUAAGGAUAUUGGACAAUGGACGAAAGUCUGAUCCAGCCAUGCCGCGUGAAGGAUUAAGGUCCUCUGGAUUGUAAACUUCUUUUAUAUGGGACGAAAAAAGGGCAUUCUUGUUCACUUGACGGUACCAUAUGAAUAAGCACCGGCUAACUCCGUGCCAG
Molecule: ribosomal RNA, 487 nt
Filed under: uncultured bacterium
Lineage: Bacteria
Description: bacterial SSU rRNA
Rfam family: Bacterial small subunit ribosomal RNA
Source: RNAcentral